CCUACGGGUGGCAGCAGUCGAGAAUCAUUCACAAUGGGGGAAACCCUGAUGGUGCGACGCCGCGUGGGGGAAUGAAGGUCUUCGGAUUGUAAACCCCUGUCAUGUGGGAGCAAAUUAAAAAGAUAGUACCACAAGAGGAAGAGACGGCUAACUCUGUGCCAGCAGCCGCGGUAAUACAGAGGUCUCAAGCGUUGUUCGGAUUCACUGGGCGUAAAGGGUGCGUAGGCUGGUUCGUAGUUCGUGUGUGAAAGGCGCGGGCUCAACCCGGGGACGGCACAUGAAACUGCGAGACUAGAGUAAUGGAGGGGGAACCGGAAUUCUCGGUGUAGCAGUGAAAUGCGUAGAUA
RNAcentral lists this ribosomal RNA (347 nucleotides) under uncultured bacterium. Its description in RNAcentral is "partial 16S ribosomal RNA". It matches the Rfam family "Bacterial small subunit ribosomal RNA", at positions 338 to 696 of the family's 1533-position model. The record is from RNAcentral.